UAAUUGAAGAGUUUGAUCAUGGCUCAGAUUGAACGCUGGCGGCAGGCCUAACACAUGCAAGUCGAACGGUAACAGGAAGCAGCUUGCUGCUU
This 92-nucleotide ribosomal RNA is filed under the name Salmonella enterica. Its description in RNAcentral is "partial 16S ribosomal RNA". It matches the Rfam family "Bacterial small subunit ribosomal RNA", at positions 1 to 88 of the family's 1533-position model. Lineage: Bacteria; Pseudomonadati; Pseudomonadota; Gammaproteobacteria; Enterobacterales; Enterobacteriaceae. RNAcentral also lists the same sequence under 5 other names. The record is from RNAcentral.